UCAUUCAAGUUUCUGACCUAUCAGCUUUAGACGGUAGGGUAUUGGCCUACCGUGGCUAUGACGGGUAACGGGGAAUUAGGGUUCGAUUCCGGAGAGGGAGCCUGAGAAACGGCUACCACAUCUAAGGAAGGCAGCAAACGCGCAAAUUACCCAAUCCUGACACAGGGAGGUAGUGACAAGAAAUAACAAUACAGGGCCUAACGGUCUUGUAAUUGGAAUGAGUGAAGUAUAAACCCCUUUACGAGUAUCAAUUGGAGGGCAAGUCUGGUGCCAGCAGCCGCGGUAAUUCCAGCUCCAAUAGCGUAUAUUAAAGUUGUUGCAGUUAAAAAGCUCGUAGUUGGAUUUCUGUUGUAUAAUUUUAUAAUAUUACAAAGGUAAUUAUUAUAUUAUCAACAUCCUUCCUAUUAUAUUCUAAAUAUAUAGGAAAUUUUACUUUGAGAAAAUUAGAGUGCUUAAAGCAGGCAACUGCCUUGAAUACUCCAGCAUGGAAUAAUAAGUAAGGACUUUUGUCUUUCUUAUUGGUUCUAGGACAAAAGUAAUGGUUAAUAGGGACAGUUGGGGGCAUUCGUAUUUAACAGCCAGAGGUGAAAUUCUUAGAUUUGUUAAAGACGAACUACUGCGAAAGCAUUUGCCAAGGAUGUUUUCAUUAAUCAAGAACGAAAGUUAGGGGAUCGAAGACGAUCAGA
RNAcentral lists this ribosomal RNA (686 nucleotides) under Cryptosporidium andersoni. Its description in RNAcentral is "SSU rRNA". It matches the Rfam family "Eukaryotic small subunit ribosomal RNA", at positions 295 to 1012 of the family's 1831-position model. Lineage: Eukaryota; Apicomplexa; Conoidasida; Eucoccidiorida; Cryptosporidiidae. The record is from RNAcentral.